GCUUGUCUCAAAGAUUAAGCCAUGCAUGUCUAAGUACAAGCCUCAGUAAGGUGAAACCGCGAAUGGCUCAUUAAAUCACACCUAAUCUACUGGAAAGUUACUAGUUACUUGGAUAACUGAGGUAAUUCUUGAGCUAAUACAUGCGAAAAAUCUCGACUCACGGAGAGAUGCUUUUAUUAGAUCAAAACCAAACGGCUUCGGCCGUCUCAUUGGUGACUCUGAAUAACUUUGGGCUGAUCGUAUGGCCUUGUGCCGACGACGUUUCCUUCGAAGGUGUGCCCUAUCAACUGUCGACUGUGAUAUAGACGCUCACAGUGGUUUUGACGGGUAACGGGGAAUCAGGGUUCGAUUCCGGAGAGGGAGCCUUAAAAACGGCUACCACAUCCAAGGAAGGCAGCAGG
This 401-nucleotide ribosomal RNA is filed under the name Crustacea environmental sample. RNAcentral's name for it is "partial small subunit ribosomal RNA". It matches the Rfam family "Eukaryotic small subunit ribosomal RNA", at positions 30 to 432 of the family's 1831-position model. The record is from RNAcentral. Lineage: Eukaryota; Metazoa; Arthropoda.